GACGAACGUUGGCGGCGUGCUUAAUACAUGCAAGUCCACUGAAGCAGUGGUAGCAAUCUCGCUGUGGAGGUGGCGCACGGGUGAGUAACACGUAGGUAAUCUGCCUUCAGGUCUGGCAUAACUCCGGGAAACCGGGGCUAAUAGCAGAUGAUGCAGCGGCUCGACAUCGAGACAGUUGUUAAAGCUAUGGCGCCUGAAGAUGAGCCUGCGUCUGAUUAGCUAGUUGGCGGGGUAACGGCCCACCAAGGCAACGAUCAGUAGCUGGUCUGAGAGGAUGAUCAGCCACACUGGAACUGAGACACGGUCCAGACUCCUACGGGAGGCAGCAGUAAGGAAUAUUGCUCAAUGGGAGAAAUCCUGAAGCAGCAACGCCGCGUGAGGGACGAAGGGCUUUUGCUUGUAGACCUCUGUAGUGAGAGAAAAAAAUCCCAAUCUUUGGGACAUGAUGGUAUCUCAAAAGUAAGCCCCGGCUAACUACGUG
Molecule: ribosomal RNA, 481 nt
Filed under: uncultured bacterium
Lineage: Bacteria
Description: partial 16S ribosomal RNA
Rfam family: Bacterial small subunit ribosomal RNA
Source: RNAcentral